AUUGAACGCUGGCGGCAUGCUUUACACAUGCAAGUCGAACGGCAGCACGGGUGCUUGCACCUGGUGGCGAGUGGCGGACGGGUGAGUAAUACAUCGGAACGUAUCCUAAAGUGGGGGAUAACGCAUCGAAAGAUGUGCUAAUACCGCAUACACUCUGAGGAGGAAAGUAGGGGAUCGAAAGACCUUAUGCUUUUGGAGCGGCCGAUGUCUGAUUAGCUAGUUGGUAAGGUAAUGGCUUACCAAGGCAACGAUCAGUAGUUGGUCUGAGAGGACGACCAGCCACACUGGGACUGAGACACGGCCCAGACUCCUACGGGAGGCAGCAGUGGGGAAUUUUGGACAAUGGGCGGAAGCCUGAUCCAGCCAUGCCGCGUGAGUGAAGAAGGCCU
RNAcentral lists this ribosomal RNA (389 nucleotides) under uncultured bacterium. RNAcentral describes it as "bacterial SSU rRNA". It matches the Rfam family "Bacterial small subunit ribosomal RNA", at positions 30 to 417 of the family's 1533-position model. The record is from RNAcentral.